RNAcentral lists this ribosomal RNA (140 nucleotides) under uncultured bacterium. RNAcentral describes it as "partial 16S ribosomal RNA". It matches the Rfam family "Bacterial small subunit ribosomal RNA", at positions 355 to 507 of the family's 1533-position model. The record is from RNAcentral.
UGGGGAAUAUUGCACAAUGGGCGCAAGCCUGAUGCAGCGACGCCGCGUGAGGGAUGACGGCCUUCGGGUUGUAAACCUCUUUCAGUAGGGAAGAAGCGUAAGUGACGGUACUUGCAGAAGAAGCGCCGGCUAACUACGUG